This 492-nucleotide ribosomal RNA is filed under the name uncultured bacterium. Its description in RNAcentral is "partial 16S ribosomal RNA". It matches the Rfam family "Bacterial small subunit ribosomal RNA", at positions 29 to 507 of the family's 1533-position model. The record is from RNAcentral.
AGUGAACGCUGGCGGUAGGCCUAACACAUGCAAGUCGAACGGCAGCACAGUAAGAGCUUGCUCUUACGGGUGGCGAGUGGCGGACGGGUGAGGAAUACAUCGGAAUCUACUUUUUCGUGGGGGAUAACGUAGGGAAACUUACGCUAAUACCGCAUACGACCUACGGGUGAGAGCAGGGGAUCUUGGGACCUUGCGCGAUUGAAUGAGCCGAUGUCGGAUUAGCUAGUUGGCGGGGUAAAGGCCCACCAAGGCGACGAUCCGUAGCUGGUCUGAGAGGAUGAUCAGCCACACUGGAACUGAGACACGGUCCAGACUCCUACGGGAGGCAGCAGUGGGGAAUAUUGGACAAUGGGCGCAAGCCUGAUCCAGCCAUACCGCGUGGGUGAAGAAGGCCUUCGGGUUGUAAAGCCCUUUUGUUGGGAAAGAAAAGCAGCAGGUUAAUACCCCGCUGUUCUGACGGUACCCAAAGAAUAAGCACCGGCUAACUUCGUG